CCUGAUGGAGGGGGAUAACUACUGGAAACGGUAGCUAAUACCGCAUAACGUCGCAAGACCAAAGAGGGGGACCUUCGGGCCUCUUGCCAUCGGAUGUGCCCAGAUGGGAUUAGCUAGUAGGUGGGGUAACGGCUCACCUAGGCGACGAUCCCUAGCUGGUCUGAGAGGAUGACCAGCCACACUGGAACUGAGACACGGUCCAGACUCCUACGGGAGGCAGCAGUGGGGA
RNAcentral lists this ribosomal RNA (229 nucleotides) under Escherichia coli. Its description in RNAcentral is "partial 16S ribosomal RNA". It matches the Rfam family "Bacterial small subunit ribosomal RNA", at positions 129 to 360 of the family's 1533-position model. The record is from RNAcentral. Lineage: Bacteria; Pseudomonadati; Pseudomonadota; Gammaproteobacteria; Enterobacterales; Enterobacteriaceae.